UCCCCGUUACCGGGGCAGUCUGAAUAGAAAAAUACAACUAUUCAUAAGGGUUGCGCUCGUUGAUGGACUCAACCAAACAUCUCACGACACGAGCUGACGACGGCCAUGCAACACCUGUCACUUGGUUCCCGAAGGCACUCUCGGCUUUCGCCAAAAUUCCAAGGAUGUCAAGUCCAGGUAAGGUUCUUCGCUUAGCAUCGAAUUAAAGAACAUGAUCCACCGCUUGUGCGGGUCCCCGUCAAUUCCUUUGAGUUUUAGCCUUGCGGCCGUACUCCCCAGGCGGGACACUUAUAGCGUUGGCUUCGGCACGGACAGAUUCGACUCCGCCCACACCUAGUGUCCAUCGUUUACGGCGUGGACUAC
Molecule: unclassified non-coding RNA, 363 nt
Filed under: uncultured bacterium
Lineage: Bacteria
Description: contains 16S-23S intergenic spacer region
Source: RNAcentral